UCCGGUUUGUCACCGGCAGUCUCACUAGAGUGCCCAACUGAAUGUGGCAACUAAUGACAAGGGUUGCGCUCGUUGCGGGACUUAACCCAACAUCUCACGACACGAGCUGACGACAGCCAUGCAGCACCUGUGUUACGGCUCCCUUUCGGGCACAUCUCCAUCUCUGGAGGCUUCCGUACAUGUCAAGGGUAGGUAAGGUUUUUCGCGUUGCAUCGAAUUAAUCCACAUAAUCCACCGCUUGUGCGGGUCCCCGUCAAUUCCUUUGAGUUUUAACCUUGCGGCCGUACUCCCCAGGCGGUCAACUUCACGCGUUAGCUUCGUUACUAAGGGAGUUAAUCCCCCAACAACCAGUUGACAUCGUUUAAGGCGUGGACUAC
RNAcentral lists this unclassified non-coding RNA (377 nucleotides) under uncultured Gammaproteobacteria bacterium. Its description in RNAcentral is "contains 16S-23S intergenic spacer region". The record is from RNAcentral. Lineage: Bacteria; Pseudomonadati; Pseudomonadota; Gammaproteobacteria.